GAUGAACGCUGGCGGCGUGCCUAAUACAUGCAAGUCGAGCGAACAGACGAGGAGCUUGCUCCUCUGACGUUAGCGGUGGACGGGUGAGUAACACGUGGAUAACCUACCUAUAAGACUGGGAUAACUUCGGGAAACCGGAGCUAAUACCGGAUAAUAUAUUGAACCGCAUGGUUCAAUAGUGAAAGAAGGUUUUGCUGUCACUUAUAGAUGGAUCCGCGCCGCAUUAGCUAGUUGGUAAGGUAACGGCUUACCAAGGCGACGAUGCGUAGCCGACCUGAGAGGGUGAUCGGCCACACUGGAACUGAGACACGGUCCAGACUCCUACGGGAGGCAGCAGUAGGGAAUCUUCCGCAAUGGGCGAAAGCCUGACGGAGCAACGCCGCGUGAGUGAUGAAGGUCUUCGGAUCGUAAAACUCUGUUAUUAGGGAAGAACAAAUGUGUAAGUAACUAUGCACGUCUUGACGGUACCUAAUCAGAAAGCCACGGCUAACUACGUG
Molecule: ribosomal RNA, 497 nt
Filed under: uncultured bacterium
Lineage: Bacteria
Description: partial 16S ribosomal RNA
Rfam family: Bacterial small subunit ribosomal RNA
Source: RNAcentral